This is a long non-coding RNA of Triticum aestivum (bread wheat), 967 nucleotides long. RefSeq lists it as uncharacterized. The transcript has 3 exons. Lineage: Eukaryota; Viridiplantae; Streptophyta; Magnoliopsida; Poales; Poaceae. The record is from RefSeq and is a predicted model, not a curated record.
CAGGCUUGCCCUCCCACGCCACGCGCCGAUAGUUGCAAGACGCCGCCGCCCGGGAUGCCCGACGUUCCUGCAAGCGGGGGCUGGCCCGCCGUGAUGGCAGUGCGCUCAGGGAACGCCUCGCAGGCGAGCUCGCCAACAUCCCCCAUCCGACCAACCUCUGGGCGCCGAUGCGGAGGCGCUGUGGCCAGAUCCAACCGCAACUUACCAAUCUCUGAGGAGCUUGUUUUAACAGCUUUAUUUUGAGUUAAGGGAGCAUCCUAUGCUGGUUUAAGACGAUGGGCAGCUUAACUUCCUGUAGCGUCUUACUUGAACAGUAUGAUUUGAGCCGGCCAGCUCAGGAAGUCUGAAAACGAUAAGCAUGAUCGACAACAACUUGAGCACAACAGAAAAGAUUGAUUACGCCAUCAGGUAUAAUGUACAUUUUCUAAUCUUUUGUUAGUGCACACAUCAAAGUAAGCUACCACUCGAUGUAAGUGCUCCAGAUCAGGAGCAAAAUUAUUCAUGCACAGUUCGAAGACAGCAUGACUUGUCCAGCAUCACAAACAGAGUAAAAAGAGUUUUCUUCUGAUCAAGAAAAUUCAGAUACAUAAAAAUAUCCGAAGCAAAGACAUGAAUAGUUUUCUUAUUGAUAACGCAAUAUAUCACGCAAAAGAGGAGAGCUCCUCCGAUACAGCGCUACACAUGCGAGGGAUGGCAAUGAAAUGAUGAAACUGGAGCGGGCCGUACCAGCUCUUUUUUCUUACAGGAGGCCAUAUCAACUCUGUUUCCCCGACGUUACUGUUGGGGUUUCGCAUGGUGAUAUGACCUUAUGAGCAAACCUUCGGCAUUCUCGUCCCAUUUUCAGUUACACACUGGAGAAAGGAGCUCGUACAGUCAACAAGAAACGAGGAGCUUUAUUGUGCCUCACUUUGAUGAGAAUUUUUAUCGUGCCUCACAGGCUCCAGCAAGCUUCAGGAUCAGCUUGAAA